Non-coding RNA from Mesocricetus auratus (golden hamster), 198 nucleotides. Lineage: Eukaryota; Metazoa; Chordata; Mammalia; Rodentia; Cricetidae. The record is from Rfam.
AUCGCUUCUUGGCCUUUUGGCUAAGAUCAAGUGUAGUAUCUGUUCUUACCAGUUAAUAUCUGAUAUGUCCUCUAUCCAAGGAUAAUAUAUUAAUUGGAUUUUUAAAAUUAGGUCUUAUAUCCAUUUGGACUUAAGUUUUGUGCAUGGUGAUAGACAUGGAUCUAUCUGCAUUCUUCUACAUGCCAGCAUCCAGUUAUG